RNAcentral lists this ribosomal RNA (433 nucleotides) under uncultured bacterium. Its description in RNAcentral is "partial 16S ribosomal RNA". It matches the Rfam family "Bacterial small subunit ribosomal RNA", at positions 29 to 507 of the family's 1533-position model. The record is from RNAcentral.
AACGAACGCUGGCGGCAUGCCUAACACAUGCAAGUCGAACGAGACCUUCGGGUCUAGUGGCGCACGGGUGCGUAACGCGUGGGAACCUGCCCUUAGGUUCGGAAUAACUCCCCGAAAGGGGUGCUAACACCGGAUAAUGUCUUCGGACCAAAGAUUUAUCGCCUUUGGAUGGGCCCGCGUUGGAUUAGCUAGUUGGUAGGGUAAAAGCCUACCAAGGCGACGAUCCAUAGCUGGUCUGAGAGGAUGAUCAGCCACACUGGGACUGAGACACGGCCCAGACUCCUACGGGAGGCAGCAGUGGGGAAUAUUGGACAAUGGGCGAAAGCCUGAUCCGGCAAUGCCGCGUGAGUGAUGAAGGCCUUAGGGUUGUAAAGCUCUUUUACCCGGGAUGAUAAUGACAGUACCGGGAGAAUAAGCUCCGGCUAACUCCGUG